AGAGUUUGAUCAUGGCUCAGAUUGAACGCUGGCGGCAGGCUUAACACAUGCAAGUCGAGCGAGAAAGGCCUUCGGGCUGAGUAAAGCGGCGGACGGGUGAGUAACGCGUAGGAAUCUACCUGGUAGUGGGGGACAACAUGUGGAAACGCAUGCUAAUACCGCAUACGCCCUACGGGGGAAAGCGGGGGACCUUCGGGCCUCGUGCUAUCAGAUGAGCCUGCGUUAGAUUAGCUAGUUGGUGAGGUAAAGGCUCACCAAGGCGACGAUCUAUAGCUGGUCUGAGAGGAUGAUCAGCCACACUGGGACUGAGACAUGGCCCAGACUCCUACGGGAGGCAGCAGUGGGGAAUAUUGCGCAAUGGGGGCAACCCUGACGCAGCCAUGCCGCGUGUGUGAAGAAGGCCUUAGGGUUGUAAAGCACUUUCAAUUGGGAAGAAAGGUUGUAGGUUAAUAGCCUGCAGCUGUGACAUUACCUUUAGAAGAAGCACCGGCUAACUCCGUGCCAGCAGCCGCGGUAAUACGGAGGGUGCAAGCGUUAAUCGGAAUUACUGGGCGUAAAGCGCGCGUAGGCGGUUUGUUAAGUCGGAUGUGAAAGCCCCGGGCUCAACCUGGGAAUUGCAUUCGAUACUGGCAGACUAGAGUACGAGAGAGGGAGGUAGAAUUUCUAGUGUAGCGGUGAAAUGCGUAGAUAUUAGAAGGAAUACCGGUGGCGAANGCGGCCUCCUGGCUCGAUACUGACGCUGANGUGCGAAAGCGUGGGGGAGCAAACAGGAUUAGAUACCCUGGUAGUCCACGCCGUAAACGAUGUCUACUAGCCGUUGGGGAACUUGAUUCUUUAGUGGCGCAGCUAACGCACUAAGUAGACCGCCUGGGGAGUACGGCCGCAA
RNAcentral lists this ribosomal RNA (886 nucleotides) under uncultured bacterium. RNAcentral's name for it is "bacterial SSU rRNA". It matches the Rfam family "Bacterial small subunit ribosomal RNA", at positions 8 to 891 of the family's 1533-position model. The record is from RNAcentral.